CAGCAGCCGCGGUAAUACGUAGGUGGCAAGCGUUGUCCGGAAUUAUUGGGCGUAAAGGGCUCGCAGGCGGUUUCUUAAGUCUGAUGUGAAAGCCCCCGGCUCAACCGGGGAGGGCCAUUGGAAACUGGGAAACUUGAGUGCAGAAGAGGAGAGUGGAAUUCCACGUGUAGCGGUGAAAUGCGUAGAGAUGUGGAGGAACACCAGUGGCGAAGGCGACUCUCUGGUCUGUAACUGACGCUGAGGAGCGAAAGCGUGGGGAGCGAACAGGAUUAGAUACCCCAGUAGUCCCUGUCUCUUAUAC
RNAcentral lists this ribosomal RNA (301 nucleotides) under uncultured bacterium. RNAcentral's name for it is "partial 16S ribosomal RNA". It matches the Rfam family "Bacterial small subunit ribosomal RNA", at positions 509 to 807 of the family's 1533-position model. The record is from RNAcentral.